This is a long non-coding RNA of Cervus elaphus (red deer), 4324 nucleotides long. RefSeq lists it as uncharacterized. The record is from RefSeq and is a predicted model, not a curated record. Lineage: Eukaryota; Metazoa; Chordata; Mammalia; Artiodactyla; Cervidae. The transcript has 3 exons.
ACCUGGGCAGCUGCAGCACCUCUGUUCUCCCAUGCACCCCUCUGCGUCUCUGUAAGUGGCCGAGCCGGGACUGGGACCUGGGCAGCUGCAGCACCUGUGUUCUCCCAUGCACCCCUCUGCGUCUCUGUAAGUGGCCGAGCCGGGACUGGGACCUGGGCAGCUGCAGCACCUGAGUUCUCCCACGCACCCCUCUGCUUCUCUGAUGAGAUGGAACGGAACAGCGAGACACCAGAGAGGAAAGAGCCUCAGGGACAACUCAGUACUUCUCUCUUCCCGCACACUUGAAGCAUCCAAGGCCGGGCAGGGUUUGUCUUGGUUCUCAAAGCUUGGAAGGAUCCAUCAGGAAGUCUCUUCAGCAGCACAGAUCACCUCCCUGUAGGAUCCUGAGGUCAGAUUUUCCAAUCUCCCUGUUCAUCGCGUGCACAGCCUAGGCUGGUGCUCAACCAGCCGUGGAGAUUUUACCUGGGUUCCUUGCAUACACUGGCGUCUCCAGAUUUUUCACCUUGUCUGCUCCUAUCCAGGAUCAGGUAACAAUUCUGGACUUAGUAUCUUUUCAGGAAAAACUAGAAAUUAGAUGGACUCCAACUUGAAUCCAGGCCCACUGACUCCAACAUCCAUAACGUUUAACAAAAUGUACAGCUGAUAGUCAGAUACUCUGAUCAGAGACGGAAUGAGCCCAGCACUGGGGAAAUGUGGAUUCUGGUUCCAACUGUCAUCAUCCAGAGUCGCCUGGUCCCUCCCUUUCACCGGGUCUGUUUCUUCAUCGGCAAAACGAAGAGGCUCUGUGGAGCAUCUCUAAGUUGUCUCCCAUUCCUUUAUCACUCGAUUGGUAUGAAGAAAAGAAUUGCAAUGGAACCACAUUGAACAGAAAUUACUCCAAUGCUGUCUAUUUUAGAAAUUGUGUUUUCUGUUUGGCUUAUGGCAGAAGGAAGGCAAGUAGGAACAGCCAAGCAAGUAACAGAACUAAUCCAGGCGAGUUUUCUCACCCAGCAUAACUCCCACAAGAAAAUAAACUCCGCCUGGCACCGUGCCCCCACCCCCGGCCCGCCCCUGCCCGCAGGAAUUCGGGGUGAGUCUCAGAGGAAGCGGCGGCACAGAGCGCCUGGCACACGCUCCUGUCUUUGAGCUUGAAGACAGGAGGAGGCUCCAUCAGGAGGGUGGGAGUUGGUCCCCAACAGAUAAAGGAGGGUUUCAGAGGCGCUGAACCUGCUCCGCAGGCAUCGUGCCUUUCCCAGAGGAGCUCAUACUCGUUAGUCAUAAAUAAGUCCUGUGAAAUGCCUCCCACGUCCCAUGUGAAUAUUUCAAACAUCAUGCUUAGCCAAGAAAUAAAAAAGAACAAAAACAAAACAGAGAUUUACCUUUUAAGCUUUGAUAUUUGUUGUUUGUUUAUUACCAGAUUUAAUCUUCUGAAAAAAAAUUGGUAUUACAUCUUUAAAAUCGUUCCUCUCUGACAUUUCCCGGUGAGGCACAAAUAUUCAGGCAAAGAGUGGGGCUUUGGGGGUCCCGUCUAAUCUUUAUACUCCUUAUUCUAGCUACUGGAGGUCUUCCCAUUCUGGAGACCAGGCAAAGUGCUAUGAGAGAAACCGGUGGUGGGGAAGCAGGUUUCCCUAGAGUCAGGUGUCAGGCGCUGGUCCUACACUUUAGUGGGAAGAUGAAUAAGAUACAGUUUAACUAGUGGUUACCAGUGGGGAGAGAAUGGGGGGUGGGCAAGACAGGGGAAGGGGAUUAAGAGAUUCAAGCCACUAGGUAUAAAAUAGAUAAGAUACAGUGAUGUAAUGCACAGCACAGGGAAUAUAGCCAAUAUUUUAUAAUAACUUUAAAUGGAGUAUAGUCUAAUAACUAUCAAGUCACUGUGUUAUAUGUCUGAAACUAAUGUAACAUUGUAGAUCAAUUCUAUUUCAAUUUUAAAAAGACACAGCUUGACUCCGGGAACCCUCGGUUUCAGUCAGAGAGACAGUCAGGUCAGGUGGAGGAAUCAAAGGAAACAUUUGUGAUGUGAGCUUGGAGAACAGAGUUUGGCUUAGGCAUACAGGAGAGCACUGAAGGCUAUCUGAGAGCAGAAGAGAAUUCAGAAACACCUCAGAGAGCAGAUGACCUUAGAACUGGGUUUUUAGGGAGGUGUUUCACAAGAGAAGGAGUGGGAGAGAAGAAUCUUGGUGAGAGAAGUUAAGGCAUGUGCAAGGCAGGGAGGUGAAAGAACAGGGGCAGGCCAAGUGGUGCAGUACCAGCUUGGAAGUUUGAGCAUCAGCCCGAAGGUGAGGGGACUUGUGUUUUAUUGGGGUGGGUGGUUAGCUUUUUAUUCUCAAUGCAAUAUGAACUUGGUUUUUGGAUUAUCAUUCUGGCAGAAAUAGAAAGGAUGGAUUAAAGAGAGAAGAGGCUAGAGGAGUUUCUUAUUUUUAUUAUUUCAAAUUUUUGGCUACAUCCUGAGUCAUGUGGGACCUUAGUUCUCUAAUCAGGGAUCGAACUCUCACUCCCUGAAUUGGAAGGCAGAAUCUUAACCACUGGACCUCUAGAGAAGUUCCCAGGAUAGAGACAUUUAAACCAGACAUAUAGAGGCAAGAGAGGGGACCCAUGAGAGAGAUGGAGGAGGCGGAAUUGGUAGGACUUGAUGGCCCGCUACACAGACCCAGGAAGCAACACAGUCGUGGGGCUUGGGAACCCGACUUGAUCAUGAUAGGAGAGGGUGAUGAGCAUUGCCUGCCCUUGAUGGAUGGGCUAACAAACACUAACUGAGCUAUUUGUUGGUAUUAUGGUUGGCGUGAGGGAUGAGCCAGAAGGUGGAUAAAGCAGCGGUAAAGCUUCUUUCCUCUCUAUAGGAGCUUGUCCCCUGCCUCACUGUUCAAUGAGUGGUCUGAGGUCCAUGGACCAGCAGCAUCGGCAUCACCUGGCACCUUGUGCAGCUUCCUGAGCCCCCCAGGGUUACUAAGUCAGAUUCUGCUUUCUAAUAAGGUCCCCAGGUCAGCUACACGCAGUCAGUUACUUUAAAGUGUGAGAAGCACUGGCCAAGGGUAACUCUUUGAAAUUUUUCCAGUUGGCAGGAGGAUCGUAGAGGGAGUAACCACAGAGAAACAGCAUAAGCAGGAAACGAAAGGGCCAAAGGUUCAAAUUGUCAAUCACAGAUUGUGGAGCCAGACAUCGGUGUUUCUCUGUCCGGGAGUUUAUACCGAAUGGGAACUAUGCCUAAUUACUAUCUUGCUCUCUGAUCUGUCUUCCACUUCAUAUUUCUACUCUUACUCUUUACAUAUUUGAUUUUGAUUCUGCGUCCAUGCUCAGUUGUAUCUGACUCUGUGCGACCCCAUGGACUGUAGCCCACACCAAGCUCCUCUCUCCCUGGAAUUUUCCAGGCAAGAAUACGGGAGCGGGCUGCCAUUUCCUACCCCCAAGGAUCUUCCCGACUCAGAGAUCAAACCCUUGUCUUUUGUGUCUCCUGCAUUUAAUGGUGGAUUCUUUACCACUGUGCCACCUGGGAUAAUCCUUAAUGUAUAUACGACACUUAAAGGUACUUAAAAGGUUGUAAAAUGAGCAAAGCUAUUUUGGGAACAAUUAAGACAACAAAAUAAACAAAAAGUUAACAAAUUUGUUUAUGUAUCUCUGGCAUCCUUAGCAACUCAUUAUUUCUGGGUUAUAAGGAGAUGGUUGAGUGUGAUUUAAUGAAGGCUAAGCUAAUAUUGUCCAACUUCUAGAUCAGAAAAGAGACUCAGAAAGUCAGGGUUACUUGGUACCAGGGCUCUGUUGGAAGCCAGGCAGCUUCAGGCAAGGAGCAAGAGUCUAAGUCAUUGUGACAUCUCCAUUACGCCUCAGAAACUGUUCAUUGCUCCAGACAGGAGCUUUAGUGGUUGUGGCUCUUGUCUUUUCAGCCUCUCAUUCAUUCAGUUAGGAUGGAUUUACUGGCAUGAAAAUUUGAUAUGGAUCUAGAACUCUAUGAACAAAUAAUAAUAACAUUUGAUGGAGGUCAUAAAGAUGACUCAGGCCCAUAAAAGAAAAGGGUUCUGCAAAACACCAAAGGCACAGCAAGAUAAAAAGCAGAAUAUGCUGCCUUUUCACAAGCUUAAAAUGCCAUUCACCUCUAGAAACAGGCUUAAUCUAAGCUUUGACAUGCACCAUCAAAUGCAAGAUUUCCAAAGUCUGAUGAUGCAUUAGUUGCACAAAGAGAAUGAGAGCAGGGAGACCACGUCCAGUUGCCCCUGUGAUGACUGGAAUGACCGUGUGUUGGAGCAGAGAAGGGACAGAAGAAUGCUGCCCUUCAGAAGCACUUGCAGUGAUGGAGUCUAGACAAAUCACAGAUGAAUUUAGUGGCAAUGUGAAAUUGCUUUUCAAGUACAUA